CCAGUUCUCAAAAAUCCGACUAAGUUGAAUCGGCCAAGAUUUGAAGAAUCAAGCAGAUUCAAUAGAAAAUUUGUCGAUUCACAGCAGCAAACAGGCAGCACCAUGUCCACAGUCUCAAUUCCCCGAGCCGGGACCCUACAUAAGCAACCCGGCACUAGUAUCUAAUGACUCGGGCGAUUCCAUGUGCCGUCGUCCGAGUUUUGUAACCCAGCCAUUUCACACCUUUAUACAUUG
This 234-nucleotide long non-coding RNA is filed under the name Amborella trichopoda. Its description in RNAcentral is "long non-coding RNA (ATRI_LNC003243)". Lineage: Eukaryota; Viridiplantae; Streptophyta; Magnoliopsida; Amborellales; Amborellaceae. The record is from RNAcentral.